This 382-nucleotide ribosomal RNA is filed under the name Salmonella enterica subsp. enterica serovar Mbandaka. RNAcentral's name for it is "bacterial SSU rRNA". It matches the Rfam family "Bacterial small subunit ribosomal RNA", at positions 69 to 447 of the family's 1533-position model. Lineage: Bacteria; Pseudomonadati; Pseudomonadota; Gammaproteobacteria; Enterobacterales; Enterobacteriaceae. The record is from RNAcentral.
GUAACAGGAAGCAGCUUGCUGCUUCGCUGACGAGUGGCGGACGGGUGAGUAAUGUCUGGGAAACUGCCUGAUGGAGGGGGAUAACUACUGGAAACGGUGGCUAAUACCGCAUAACGUCGCAAGACCAAAGAGGGGGACCUUCGGGCCUCUUGCCAUCAGAUGUGCCCAGAUGGGAUUAGCUUGUUGGUGAGGUAACGGCUCACCAAGGCGACGAUCCCUAGCUGGUCUGAGAGGAUGACCAGCCACACUGGAACUGAGACACGGUCCAGACUCCUACGGGAGGCAGCAGUGGGGAAUAUUGCACAAUGGGCGCAAGCCUGAUGCAGCCAUGCCGCGUGUAUGAAGAAGGCCUUCGGGUUGUAAAGUACUUUCAGCGGGGAGG